Molecule: small RNA, 127 nt
Filed under: Marmota monax (woodchuck)
Lineage: Eukaryota; Metazoa; Chordata; Mammalia; Rodentia; Sciuridae
Source: RNAcentral
GCCAGGUGUGAUGGUGCAUGCCUGUAAUCCCAGCAGCUCAGGAGGUUGAGGUAGGAGGAUUGCAAGUUUGAGGCCAGCAUCAGCAAUUUAGUGAGGCCCUAAGCAACUCAGUGAGACCCUGUCUCUA